AUGGUUACAAAGGAGCAGUCCCUUCUCUAUGAUAUUGUCAAGCGUUUCGAAAAUGCGAGGUCGAACUGCAAACACAUGAAGGCCCCGAAAAACACCAAAAUCAUACAAUGUGAUGCGACAUACAUUGACCUGGGUGAUCUAGCUGAGUCUGUGAGGCUUACUGGUAAAAUGUCGAAGAAUGUAGUUGCGUGUGGGAUUGACUACAUCAACAGGCAUGUGGACAUUUGUCCUGACAAGAUGAUCAUGUCCUACAGCGUUACCAGCAAAAUAUGGAGUGAUGACUUCCACCAUGCCAUCCUGAGGAAACAUUUUGCCGCGCAUGGUGAUUUCAAGCUCACACUAAAAAAAUUAUCAUGUUCCCCGUGUUCUAGCUUCUUGCACUAG
RNAcentral lists this ribosomal RNA (384 nucleotides) under Triticum aestivum (bread wheat). RNAcentral describes it as "partial small subunit ribosomal RNA". Lineage: Eukaryota; Viridiplantae; Streptophyta; Magnoliopsida; Poales; Poaceae. The record is from RNAcentral.